This 440-nucleotide ribosomal RNA is filed under the name uncultured bacterium. Its description in RNAcentral is "partial 16S ribosomal RNA". It matches the Rfam family "Bacterial small subunit ribosomal RNA", at positions 338 to 795 of the family's 1533-position model. The record is from RNAcentral.
CCUACGGGUGGCAGCAGUGGGGGAUAUUGCACAAUGGGGGAAACCCUGAUGCAGCGACGCCGCGUGUGGGAAGACGGUCCUCUGGAUUGUAAACCACUGUCCCCAGGGACGAAGAUGACGGUACCUGGGGAGGCCGCUCCGGCUAACUACGUGCCAGCAGCCGCGGUACUACGUAGGGAGCGAGCGUUGUCCGGAAUUACUGGGUGUAAAGGGAGCGUAGGCGGGACUGCAAGUUGGGUGUAAAAUCUACCGGCUCAACCGGUAGCCGCACUCAAAACUGCAGGUCUUGAGUGAGUUAGAGGCAGGCGGAAUGCCUAGUGUAGCGGUGAAAUGCGUAGAUAUUAGGAGGAACACCAGGGGCGAAGGCGGCGUGCGGGGCUUUGACUGACGCUGAGGCUCGAAAGUGUGGGGAGCAAACAGGAUUAGAUACCCUAGUAGUC